GAUGAACGCUGGCGGCGUGCCUAAUACAUGCAAGUCGAGCGCACGGACGAUACGCUUGCUUCUUUGAUCUUAGCGUCGGACUGGUGAGUAGCACAUUGAUGACCUACCUAUCAGCCUGGUAUAGCUUCGGGGCACCUGAGCUCGUACCGUAUAAUCUUUUGAACCUCAUGGUUCAAAAGUAAAUGACGGUAUUGCUCUAACUUAUAGAUGCAUCGUCGCGGCAUUAGCUAUUUGCUAGGGUAACGGCUUACCAAGCCAACGAUGCAUAGCCGACGGGAGAGGGUGAUGGGCAACACUGGAACUGAGAAACGGUCCAGACUCCUACGGGAGGCAGCAGUAGGGAAUCUUCCGAAAUGGGCGAAAGCCGGACGGAGAAACGCCGCGUGAUGGAGGAAGGUUUUCGGAUCUUAAAACCUGGUGAUUAGGGAAGAACAGAUGUGGAAGUAACUGUGCACAUCGUGACGGUACCUAAUCAGAAAGCGACGGCUAACUACGUG
Molecule: ribosomal RNA, 497 nt
Filed under: uncultured bacterium
Lineage: Bacteria
Description: partial 16S ribosomal RNA
Rfam family: Bacterial small subunit ribosomal RNA
Source: RNAcentral